Non-coding RNA from Biomphalaria glabrata, 109 nucleotides. The record is from Rfam. NCBI's taxonomy places the organism in Eukaryota, Metazoa, Mollusca, Gastropoda, Planorbidae.
GCCCCGGUGGCACAAUCGGUUAGCGCGCCGUACUUAUAGACAGUACCUUCCCCAUGAGGUCAUGGGAUAAGUCAUGCGGAGGUUGUGAGUUCGAUCCUCACCCGGGGCA